CUCAGAACGAACGCUGGCGGCAGGCUUAACACAUGCAAGUUGAGCGGGAUUGAUUGAUAGCUUGCUAUUAAUCAUGAGAGCAGCGCACUGGUGAGUAACACGUGGGAACAUACCUUUUGGUGGGGGACAACAGUUGGAAACGACUGCUAAUACCGCAUAAGCCCUGAGGGGGAAAGGAGAGAUUUGCCGAAAGAUUGGCCCGCGGAAGAUUAGGUAGUAGGUGGGGCAACGGCCUACCUAGCCGACGAUCUAUAGCUGGUCUGAGAGGACGAUCAGCCACAUUGGAACUGAGACACGGUCCAGACUCCUACGGGAGGCAGCAGUGAGGAAUAUUGGGCAAUGGAGGAAACUCCUGACCCAGCCAUGCCGCGUGAGUGAAGAAGGUUUUCGGAUUGUAAAGCUCUUUCGGACGGGAAGAUAAUGACGGUACCGUCUAAAGAAGCACCGGCUAACUUCGUGCCAGCCGCGGC
Molecule: ribosomal RNA, 470 nt
Filed under: uncultured bacterium
Lineage: Bacteria
Description: bacterial SSU rRNA
Rfam family: Bacterial small subunit ribosomal RNA
Source: RNAcentral